RNAcentral lists this transfer RNA (74 nucleotides) under Edaphocola sp. Its description in RNAcentral is "tRNA-Asn". It matches the Rfam family "tRNA". From Rfam's summary of the family: Transfer RNA (tRNA) molecules are approximately 80 nucleotides in length. The record is from RNAcentral. Lineage: Bacteria; Pseudomonadati; Bacteroidota; Chitinophagia; Chitinophagales; Chitinophagaceae.
UCUUCCUUAGCUCAGUUGGUUAGAGCACCUGACUGUUAAUCAGGGGGUCGUUGGUUCAAGUCCAACAGGGAGAG